GGGAUUCGACUAAGCCAUGCAAGUCAGAGGGUCUCGCAAGAGACACAGGCAAAUUGCUCAGUAACACGUCAAUAAUCUGCCCUUAGGUCUGGGAAAACCUCGGGAAACUGAGGCUAAACCCGGAUAGGUGAAAGAUACUGGAAUGUUCUUUCGCCCAAAGUUUACGCCUAAGGAUGAGUUGGCGGCUGAUUAGGCUGUUGGCAGUGUAAAGGACUACCAAACCUAAGAUCAGUAGGGGCCUUGAGAGAGGGAGCCCCGAGAAGGGCACUGAGACACGUGCCCUAGCCCUACGGGGUGCAGCAGGCGCGGAAACUCUACAAUGUACGCAAGUACGAUAGGGGGAUCCCGAGUGCUUAUGCCUUAGGCAUAGGCUUUUGCUAAGUGUAAAAAGCUUGGCGAAUAAGUGGUGGGUAAGACUGGUGCCAGCCGCCGCGGUAACCCCAGCGCCACAAGUGGCAAUCACGUUUAUUGGGCCUAAAGCGUUCGUAGCCGGUUUAGUAAGUCUUGAGUGAAAUCGUUCUACUCAAUAGAACGGCGUGCUUGGGAGACUGCUAGACUCGAGACCGGAGAAGGGUUGGAGGUAUGCCGGGGGGAGCGGUAAAAUGUUAUAAUCCCCGGUGGACCACCUGUGGCGAAGGCGUCCAACUAGAACGGGUCUGACGGUGAGGGACGAAAGCUAGGGGAGCAAACCGGAUUAGAUACCCGAGUAGUCCUAGCCGUAAACGCUGCGAGCUAGAUGUUGCGCAUUCUAUAUGAAUGCGCGGUGUCGGAGAGAAGUCGUUAAGCUCGCCGCCUGGGUAGUACGGUCGCAAGGCUGAAACUUAAAGGAAUUGGCGGGGGAGCACCACAAGGGGUGCGGCGUGCGGUCUAAUCCAAUUCAACGCGGAGAAUCUCACCAGGAGCGACGGCAGGAUGAAGGUCAGUCUAAAGGGCUUACCUGACGAGCCGAGAGGUAGUGCAUGGCCGUCGUCAGCUCGUACCGUGAGGUGUCCAGUUAAGUCUGGCAACGAGCGAGACCUAUACCCAUAAUUGCUAACAGGUUCAUCAGAAUGACUGAGCACAUUAUGGGGACUGCCUUGGAAACAAGGAGGAAGGUGUAGGCAACGGUAGGUCUGUACGCUCCGAAUCUUCUGGGCUACACGCGCGCAACAAUGGUGGAAAAAAUGGGAUGCAACUCCGAAAGGAGAAGCCAAUCCUCGAAAUUCCAUCUUAGUUCAGAUUGAGGGCUGUAAUUCGCCCUCAUGACGUCGGAAUCCCUAGUAAUCGUGGUUCAUAACAUCACGGUGAAUAUGUCCCUGCUCCUUGCACACACCGCCCGUCAACUCAACCGA
This 1331-nucleotide ribosomal RNA is filed under the name metagenome. Its description in RNAcentral is "bacterial SSU rRNA". It matches the Rfam family "Archaeal small subunit ribosomal RNA". The record is from RNAcentral.